This 528-nucleotide ribosomal RNA is filed under the name uncultured bacterium. RNAcentral describes it as "bacterial SSU rRNA". It matches the Rfam family "Bacterial small subunit ribosomal RNA", at positions 777 to 1304 of the family's 1533-position model. The record is from RNAcentral.
AAUAGAUACCCAGGUAGUCCACGCUGUAAACGAUGAUAACUAGCUGUCCGGGUUCAUGGAAUUCGGGUGGCGCAGCUAACGCAUUAAGUUAUCCGCCUGGGGAGUACGGUCGCAAGAUUAAAACUCAAAGGAAUUGACGGGGGCCUGCACAAGCGGUGGAGCAUGUGGUUUAAUUCGAAGCAACGCGCAGAACCUUACCAACGUUUGACAUCCCUAUCGCGGUUACCAGAGAUGGUUUCCUUCAGUUCGGCUGGAUAGGUGACAGGUGCUGCAUGGCUGCCGUCAGCUCGUGUCGUGAGAUGUUGGGUUAAGUCCCGCAACGAGCGCAACCCUCGCCUUUAGUUGCCAGCAUUUAGUGGGUACUCUAAAGGAACCGCCGGUGAUAAGCCGGAGGAAGAUGGGGAUGACGUCAAGUCCUCAUGGCCCUUACGCGUUGGGCUACACACGUGCUACAAUGGCGACUACAGUGGGCAGCUAUCCCGCGAGGGUGAGCUAAUCUCCAAAAGUCGUCUCAGUUCGGAUUGUUCU